AAACUAGACGGAAGCUUUCUGUGAAACAUCUUGGAGAUGCGAGAAUUCAUCUCACAGAGUUGAAACAUUCUUUUGAUUGGGCAGUUUGUAAACAGUAUUUUGGUAGAAUCUGCAAAUGGAUAUUUGUGAUGCUUUGAAGCCUAUGGUGAAAACGAAAUAUUUUCACAUGAAAACUAGAGAGAAGCUUUCUGAGAAACCUCCUUGUGAUGUGUGCAUUCGUCUCACAGAUUUGAAACUUUCUUUGGAUUGAGCAAUUUGGAAACAGUAUUUUUGUAGAAUCUGUAAAGGCAUAUUUUUGAGUGGUAUGAGGCCUAUGAUGAAAUAGGAAAUAUCUUCACAUAAAAACUAGACAGAAACUUUCUGAGAAACUUCUUUGUGAUGUGUGCAUUCAUCUCGUAGAGUUCAACCAUUCUUUUGAUGGAACAGUUUGGAAACACUCUUUUUGUAGAAUCUGCAAAGGGAUAUUUAUGAGUGCUUUGAGGCCUAUGGUUAAAAAGGAAAUGUAUUCACAUAAAAAGUAUAAACAAGGUUUCUGAGAAACAGUUUUGUGAUGUGUGCAUUCACCACACAGAGAAAAACGUUUGUUUUGUUUGAUCAGUCUGGAAAUUCUGUUCUUGUAGAAUCUGCUAAGGGAUAAUUGUGAGCAGAUGGAGGCCUAUGGUGAAAAAGGAAAUGUCUUCAUAUAAAAAUUAGACAGAAGCUUCCUGCAAAAC
RNAcentral lists this long non-coding RNA (713 nucleotides) under Homo sapiens (human). RNAcentral's name for it is "HSALNT0270841". Lineage: Eukaryota; Metazoa; Chordata; Mammalia; Primates; Hominidae. The record is from RNAcentral.